AUUGAACGCUGGCGGAAUGCUUUACACAUGCAAGUCGAACGGUAGAGGGGGCAACCCCUCGAGAGUGGCGAACGGGUGAGUAAUAUAUCGGAACGUGCCCAGUCGUGGGGGAUAACGUAGCGAAAGUUACGCUAAUACCGCAUACGAUCUAAGGAUGAAAGCGGGGGACCGUAAGGCCUCGCGCGAUUGGAGCGGCCGAUAUCAGAUUAGGUAGUUGGUGAGGUAAAGGCUCACCAAGCCAACGAUCUGUAGCUGGUCUGAGAGGACGACCAGCCACACUGGAACUGCGACACGGUCCAAACCCCUACGGGAGGCAGCAGUGGGGAAUUUUGGACAAUGGACGCAAGUCUGAUCCAGCCAUUCCGCGUGCAGGAUGAAGGCCCUCGGGUUGUAAACUGCUUUUGUACGGAACGAAAAGGUCUCUCCUAAUACGAGGGGCUCAUGACGGUACCGUAAGAAUAAGCACCGGCUAACUACGUGCCAGCCGCCGCAGUAA
Molecule: ribosomal RNA, 496 nt
Filed under: uncultured bacterium
Lineage: Bacteria
Description: partial 16S ribosomal RNA
Rfam family: Bacterial small subunit ribosomal RNA
Source: RNAcentral